CGUUAGUCACGAAUUAUAUAUUAGAAUAUAUAGAAUAAUUAUAAAGAUAGUUAUACGGCAAGGGUUUAAGUUUAUGUUGAUGCGCUAACUAUGCUUGCUUGUCGCGUCGUGACUGUCUUUGUAUACCAUGUACGUAUGUCAAUUUUAAACCAAUUUUUAACCAUCGUGAAUAAUUUCCUCAGAUAUAAAAUUAUUGUGACAAGUGA
Paramuricea clavata is the source of this 206-nucleotide non-coding RNA. The record is from the annotation of a GenBank genome assembly. Lineage: Eukaryota; Metazoa; Cnidaria; Anthozoa; Malacalcyonacea; Plexauridae.